AUGAACGAGGGUUCAAUUCUUAUUUUUUCUCUACUUUUUCUAUGUAGAUUUUCCUCUGCUGCAAUUGACAUUGCUAUUUAUUAUUCUUGUUUUUCUGCAAAAAAAGAUGAACAAAAUUUGUACAGAUUGUACUAUAUUAGAUUUUAUGUUUUUGAGAUUAGAGUUUAUGUAAUUGAUAAAAAAUUAGUGCUUUUUGUAAAAACUUGGUUUUGCAGGUGGUGUGAAUUUUAA
Non-coding RNA from Vicia faba (fava bean), 231 nucleotides. NCBI's taxonomy places the organism in Eukaryota, Viridiplantae, Streptophyta, Magnoliopsida, Fabales, Fabaceae. The record is from the annotation of a GenBank genome assembly.